GACAACGCUGAAAGGAAGAAAUUCAUUUGAGGUCAUAUUCGGGUUGACUGCUAACAAAAGGCUGAUAAGCUUGACUUUUAAAGCAACACAAAGGGCAGGUUCAUGAAACUCACUGAGUCAAAGAGAUUUAUGCAGCCUGUGACCCCGGCAAAAGGGAAUGUAAUGAGCUCUAAGUUCAGGCGUGGUAUUGCUCCUGGUUCUACAACGUUAGAGAAGGGAGACAUUAUUCAUAAGCUGAUGAGUUGGAAGCGGUGGAAGAGGUGCUUACUUCAGGUUUCAUGCGGUUGUUAUUGUAACAAACAUCAGAGAGAUGCUUCUUUAAAAGGCCCCUUCAUUGCCAUUUUCCAUCCAUUCACCACAUGCCCUCGGACUUUCCCUCCUUUCCCCACACACCUGUUUCAUUUCCCUCAUUUUCUCUGCAGUUGCCUGACCUUCCCCACCCUCCUCCUCAUCUGCAUCUCAUUCGCUCAUCAGCCGCUCGGUUCAUAUAACGGCCCAGUUCCAUUCAUUUCCUGCCAGACCAUCAAAGUUGCCAUGUGCUUUGUACCGUUGAUUUCAAGUCACCGGAACCUGAACCUUACCCAUAGUCUGACCCUUUCCAUGGACCUGCCUACUACCUAUCUGAAACUACCUGCCUGUAAGCCUUUACACAACUCCACAUUUGAAAUAAAUCAUUGAACUGCAUCUGCUCUGUUAACUUCAUCUGCAUUUGGGUCCUACUACUACUACUACUACUAUUAUAGUGACACUGCUCUAUUGUCGAUCACACUGCUCACACAGCUAUUGAAUAACGUGGUAUUCAUUGAUUUCUUUACGAGAUCAUUUUGCAACAGAGGUCAGAGGUCACAGUCAAAUACAGGUCCAGCACCACUGCAGGAUACGGUGCUUUGGUUGAGGGCACUUUAGCUGUACAGAUACUUGCUGACACAUGGACACAUCUCUGGUUCAAAGAUCAUCUUCAAUUGUGCUACCCUGUCUUAAAAUUAUGUAAAGUGAUACAUACUGUGUGCUGUGUUAUAACAAACCAGUAUUUGUGUCUUCUGCUGUCAUGCUUGUGCUUUCUUUGUCAGGAUGUAAGCCUAGUUUGAAAUAAAGCAUUAAGCAACA
This is a long non-coding RNA of Micropterus dolomieu (smallmouth bass), 1107 nucleotides long. RefSeq lists it as uncharacterized. Lineage: Eukaryota; Metazoa; Chordata; Actinopteri; Centrarchiformes; Centrarchidae. The transcript has 2 exons. The record is from RefSeq and is a predicted model, not a curated record.